CUGACUGUUGCCGUCCUCCAG
Molecule: microRNA, 21 nt
Filed under: Pan troglodytes (chimpanzee)
Lineage: Eukaryota; Metazoa; Chordata; Mammalia; Primates; Hominidae
Also listed under: 1 other name
Description: ptr-miR-943
Gene: ptr-miR-943
Source: miRBase by way of RNAcentral